Molecule: unclassified non-coding RNA, 382 nt
Filed under: fungal sp.
Lineage: Eukaryota; Fungi
Description: partial internal transcribed spacer region
Rfam family: Eukaryotic small subunit ribosomal RNA (bases 1-46)
Source: RNAcentral
AAGUCGUAACAAGGUUUCCGUAGGUGAACCUGCGGAAGGAUCAUUAUAAAAUAAAACAAAGCAAUCUUUGCUUUUAUAAAUAACUAUUUUAUUAGAUUAGGUAUCUAGUUAAUAACUAUUUACCGAAAUAAUUUAAUAUACUAUUGUAGAGCUUUUAGGUUUACCCUAAUAAUCUCUAUAAACCAAUAAAUCAAUAAUCCUUUAAAUUACUAGUCUAAUUAUUUAGAUAAAUAAUUUAAAGUGGUAUAGAAAGUGAGGAGUACUAUUAGAUAUAAUAUUUUAUAUUGAUAUAGGAGACUCAUGCAAAACUUUAUAACCAGAAUUCAUUUUACAUUUAUUUAAUAAAAACAAAUAACUUUUAACAAUGGAUCUCUUGGCUAAU